AUAUUAACAAGGGGAGGAAAAGAAACUAACAAGGAUUCCCCUAGUAACGGCGAGUGAAGCGGGAAGAGCUCAAAUUUAAAAUCUGGCGGCCUCAGGUCGUCCGAGUUGUAGUCUAGAGAAGUGUUUUCCGUGCUGGACCGUGUACAAGUCCCUUGGAACAGGGCGUCAUAGAGGGUGAGAAUCCCGUCUUUGACACGGACUACCAGUGCUCUGUGAUGCACUCUCGAAGAGUCGAGUCGUUUGGGAAUGCAGCUCAAAUCGGGUGGUAAAUUCCAUCUAAAGCUAAAUAUUGGCGAGAGACCGAUAGCGCACAAGUA
RNAcentral lists this ribosomal RNA (317 nucleotides) under uncultured Agaricomycetes. Its description in RNAcentral is "partial large subunit ribosomal RNA". It matches the Rfam family "Eukaryotic large subunit ribosomal RNA", at positions 40 to 350 of the family's 3401-position model. The record is from RNAcentral. Lineage: Eukaryota; Fungi; Basidiomycota; Agaricomycetes.